GAUGAACGCUGGCGGCGUGCCUAAUACAUGCAAGUCGAGCGAACAGAUGAGGAGCUUGCUCCUCUGACGUUAGCGGCGGACGGGUGAGUAACACGUGGAUAACCUACCUAUAAGACUGGGAUAACUUCGGGAAACCGGAGCUAAUACCGGAUAAUAUCUUGAACCGCAUGGUUCAAUAGUGAAAGACGGUUUUGCUGUCACUUAUAGAUGGAUCCGCGCCGCAUUAGCUAGUUGGUAAGGUCACGGCUUACCAAGGCAACGAUGCGUAGCCGACCUGAGAGGGUGAUCGGCCACACGGGAGCUGAGACACGGUCCAGACUCCUACGGGAGGCAGCAGUAGGGAAUCGUCCGCAAUGGGCGAAAGCCUGACGGAGCAACGCCGCGUGAGUGAUGAAGGUCUUCGGAUCGUAAAACUCUGUUAUUAGGGAAGAACAAAUGUGUAAGUAACUAUGCACGUCUUGACGGUACCUAAUCAGAAAGCCACGGCUAACUACGUG
RNAcentral lists this ribosomal RNA (497 nucleotides) under uncultured bacterium. RNAcentral describes it as "partial 16S ribosomal RNA". It matches the Rfam family "Bacterial small subunit ribosomal RNA", at positions 28 to 507 of the family's 1533-position model. The record is from RNAcentral.